Molecule: ribosomal RNA, 468 nt
Filed under: uncultured bacterium
Lineage: Bacteria
Description: partial 16S ribosomal RNA
Rfam family: Bacterial small subunit ribosomal RNA
Source: RNAcentral
GACGAACGCUGGCGGCGUGCUUAACACAUGCAAGUCGAACGGAAAGGCCCUGCUUUUGUGGGGUUCUCGCGUGGCGAACGUGUGUGUAACACGUGAGUAACCUGCCCUUUACUUUGGGAUAUCUUCAGGAAACUGGUGCUAAUACCGGAUAGGUGCUCCUGCUGCAUGGUGGGGUUUGGAACGUUUCGGCGGUUGGGGAUGUACUCGCGGCUUAUCAGCUUGUUGGUGGGGUAGUUGCUUACCAAGGCUUUGACGGGUAGCCGGCCUGAGAGGGUGACCGGGGACAAUGGGACUGAGAGACGGAGCAGAGUGGAACGGGAGGCAGCAGGGGGGAAUAUUGCACAAUGGGCGGAAGCGUGAGGAAGAAACGCGGCGAGCGGGAUGAAGGCCUUCGGGUUGUAAAGCGCUUUAGCCUGUGACGAAGCGUGAGUGACGGUAAUGGGAAAAGAAGCACCGGCUAACUACGUG